UGCGCGGGCGGGCUAAUAAGUCAGUGGUGAAAUCUUUCGGCUUAACCGGGAAACUGCCAUUGAUACUGUUAGUCUUGAGUUCGGUUGAGGUAGGCGGAAUGUGUAAUGUAGCGGUGAAAUGCUUAGAUAUUACACAGAACACCAAUUGCGUAGGCAGCUUACUAGACCGACACUGACGCUGAGGCACGAAAGCGUGGGGAGCGAACAGGAUUAGAUACCCUGGUAGUCC
Molecule: ribosomal RNA, 229 nt
Filed under: uncultured bacterium
Lineage: Bacteria
Description: partial 16S ribosomal RNA
Rfam family: Bacterial small subunit ribosomal RNA
Source: RNAcentral